ACCGAGUUAGGGUUUGGUUUCUGCAAUUCAACCUCGCUCUAACACUCGAUCUCUCUCAAAAACUCGAAUCCAAUACUAUAAACUCACUAAAAUCGAACUCAAAUCUGCCGUCUAGUGGUAAUUGUGGUAGUAUUUUCAGACUUGCAGUUGUCGUCGGUGGAGCCUCUUCUCCUUCUGUGGUUCGUGGAAUGCAGUGGAGGCCUUCAAGAAUUAAAUAUGUUAGGCAAGGAGGAAUUAAGUAUCAGUUUGUAAAUUGCCAAACAAUUGGAGAAUAAUGUAAAUAUUUAUGGAUGUUUUUAAUAAAAAUGAAAUUUUAUAAUUA
Long non-coding RNA from Spinacia oleracea (spinach), 322 nucleotides. RefSeq lists it as uncharacterized. The transcript has 2 exons. NCBI's taxonomy places the organism in Eukaryota, Viridiplantae, Streptophyta, Magnoliopsida, Caryophyllales, Amaranthaceae. The record is from RefSeq and is a predicted model, not a curated record.